GACGAACGCUGGCGGCGUGCUUAACACAUGCAAGUCGAACGGAAAGGCCCUGCUUUUGUGGGGUGCUCGAGUGGCGAACGGGUGAGUAACACGUGAGUAAACUGCCCUUGACUUUGGGAUAACAUCAGGAAACUGGGGCUAAUACCGGAUAGGAGAUCCUGCUGCAUGGUGGGGGAUGGAGAGUUUCGGCGGUUGGGGAUGGACUCGCGGGUUAUCAGCUUGUUGGUGGGGUAGUGGCUUACCAAGGCUUUGACGGGUAGCCGGCCUGGGCGGGUGACCGGCCUCAUGGGGCCUAGGGGACGGCCCAAACGCCUACGGGACGCAACAGGGGGGAAUCUUGCACAAUGGGCGGGAGCCUGAUGCAGCAACGCCGCGUUCGGGAUGACCGCCUUCUGGGUGUAAACAGCUGUCUCCUUUGACAUAGCCUUCGUGACGGUAAUGGGUCAAAAAGCACCGGCUAACUACGUG
RNAcentral lists this ribosomal RNA (468 nucleotides) under uncultured bacterium. Its description in RNAcentral is "partial 16S ribosomal RNA". It matches the Rfam family "Bacterial small subunit ribosomal RNA", at positions 28 to 507 of the family's 1533-position model. The record is from RNAcentral.